This 66-nucleotide transfer RNA is filed under the name Phrynocephalus guttatus (spotted toadhead agama). RNAcentral describes it as "tRNA-Tyr". The record is from RNAcentral. Lineage: Eukaryota; Metazoa; Chordata; Lepidosauria; Squamata; Agamidae.
GUAAGAUGGCUGAAUUGAGGCGGUGGUUUGUAAUUCCACUUAUGGGGUGAUAUACUCCUCUUAUCA